GCGAGCAUGUGAAUGUGAGCAAAUCCCAAAAAUAACGUCUCAGUUCGGAUUGUAGUCUGCAACUCGACUACAUGAAGCUGGAAUCGCUAGUAAUCGCGAAUCAGAAUGUCGCGGUGAAUACGUUCCCGGGUCUUGUACACACCGCCCGUCACACCAUGGGAGUCGGAAAUGCCCGAAGUCAGUGACCUAACCGAAAGGAAGGAGCUGCCGAAGGUGGAGCCGGUAACUGGGGUGAAGUCGUAACAAGGUAUC
RNAcentral lists this ribosomal RNA (252 nucleotides) under uncultured bacterium. RNAcentral describes it as "partial 16S ribosomal RNA". It matches the Rfam family "Bacterial small subunit ribosomal RNA", at positions 1249 to 1500 of the family's 1533-position model. The record is from RNAcentral.